AUGGCCUAUGGAAAUAAUAAGGAACCAUCUCUUUUUGCUGUUGCCAAAUUGUUAGAAAUGGAAAUGGGUCUAGUUAACAUGCACCAAAUAGAAAUUCUUUGGAGACCUCUACCUGGCCAUCUACUUGAGGUCUGCCAGCAUCCAAACUCUCAAAUGAGAGAAUGGGGAGCAGAAGCUUUAACUUCACUUAUUAAAGCAGGAUUAACAUUUAACCAUGAUCCUCCACUUUCACAAAACCAGAGGCUGCAGUUGCUUUUAUUGAACCCAUUAAAGGAGAUGUCUAGUAUUAACCAUCCAGAUACCCGACUCAAGCAAUUAGAAUGUGUGCUGCACAUUCUUCAGAGUCAGGGAGACAGUCUUGGACCUGAAUGGCCAUUAGUACUUGUAGUCAUGGGAGCAAUCAGAAAUGAUCAAGGAGAAUCCUUGAUACGAACUGCAUUCCAGUGUCUUCAGUUGGUCAUGACAGAUUUUCUACCAGCAAUGCCUUGUACGUGCCUGCAGAUUGUUGUAGAUGUUGCAGGUAGCUUUGGACUUCAUAACCAAGAAUUUAAUAUUAGUUUGACUUCAAUAGGUUUAUUGUGGAAUAUUUCAGAUUAUUUUUUCCAAAGAGGAGAAACUAUUGAAAAAGAAUUAAAUAAAGAAGAGGCAGCCCAGCAAAAGCAGGCAGAAGAGAAAGGAGUUGUUUUAAAUCGGCCUUUCCAUCCUGCACCACCUUUUGAUUGCUUGUGGUUGUGUCUUUAUGCAAACUUGGGUGAACUCUGUGUGGACCCCCGUCCUGCUGUGAGGAAGAGUGCAGGACAAACUCUGUUUUCAACAACUGGUGCACAUGGAACUUCAUUACAGCAGUCAACAUGGCACACUGUUAUUUGGAAGGUUCUUUUUCAUCUACUGGACCAAGUUUGGGAGUCUUCUACCACCGCAGACAAAGAAAAGAUUGAGUCUGGGGGUGGCAGUAUUCUCAUUCAUCAUUCAAGGGACACGGCAGAGAAGCAGUGGGCAGAGACCUGGGUUUUAACAUUGGCCGGAGUAGCAAGAAUCUUUAACACUAGAAGAUACUUACUGCAACCUUUAGGAGAUUUUUCAAGAGCAUGGGAUGUUCUUCUUGACCAUAUACAGUCAGCAGCACUCAGCAAAAACAACGGAGUGUCUCUGGCUGCACUGAAAAGCUUCCAGAAAAUUUUACAGAUUGUGUCCCCCGUCAGAGACUCAGAUAAGCCCGAGACACCACCAGCAGUUAAUGUACCUGUGCCUGUCCUUAUAGGGUCCAUAUCAGGCCCUGGCCUGAACAGGCAAUUUGUAAGAACAGAUUCCGUUGGAGAGAGACUUGGAAGAUAUAGUAGCUCUGAGCCACCCAUAGUUACCAAUGAGCUUGAAGAUUUGGAUCUCUGGUGGGCUGCAUGGAAUACCUGGUAUAGAAUCAGAUUGGAAAGCACUAAGCCUCCUGUUACUUUUGACAAACUGACUUCCAUUCCCAGCCAGCCUUUCCUUACCGCUUUAAUUCAGAUAUUUCCAGCUCUCUACCAAUACAUAAAAACUGGUUUCAACAUGGAUGACUUGCAAAAGCUGGGAGUCAUAUUACACAGUGCUGUGUCAGUCCCAAUAAGUUCAGAUGCAUCCCCUUUCACUCUUCCAUCUUAUACUGAAGCAAUUUUGACAAGUUUACAGGAAGCUGUGCUUACAGCUUUAGAUGUUCUCCAAAAGGCCAUCUGCGUGGGGCCAGAAAAUGUGCAGGUAAUGUAUCCAGCUAUAUUUGACCAGUUAUUGGCAUCUGUGGAAUUUUCCUGUAAACCUCAACAGUAUGGACAGCUAGAAACCAAGCAUAUUGCAAAUGCAAAAUAUAAUCAGGCAGAAUGGGUAGACUUGAAUUAGGUACCAUUUGCUGAAAGGUCUUUAGAAGUAGUUGUGGAUUUAUACCAAAAAAACAGCCUGUCACAAAGCAGUCGUGAAUGAGAAGGUACUCCAGAAUAUUAUUAAGACACUUAGGGUUCCUCUCAGUUUGAAAUAUUCCUGCCCUUCUGAAAGCACAUGGAGAUUAGCAGUAUCUUCUCUCCUCAAAGUUCUUUCUAUUGGGCUACCUGUUGCCUGGCGGCAUGCUUCUUCUGGAAAAUUUGACAGUAUGUGGCCAGAACUAGCCAACACUUUUUAAGACUUUCUCUUUACUAAAAGCAUAUCUCCAGAUAAUCUCUCUAUUCAAAAAUUUCAAAGAAAUGAAAGUAUUGAUGUUGAGGUAGUUCAGCUUAUCAGCACUGAGAUACUACCUUAUGCCAAUUUUAUUCCUAAGGAAUUUGUCGGUCAGAUAAUGACUAUGCUUAAUAAGGGCUCAAUACAUUCUCAGUCAUCUUCAUUUACAGAAGCAGAGACUGAUAUUCGUUUGAGAGAGGAAUUUUCUAAAAUGUGUUUUGAAACAUUGCUCCAGUUUUCCUUCAGUAACAAAGUCACAACACCUCAAGAAGACUACAUCUCACGAAUGGCACUCUCAGUGCUUUUAAAGAGAUCUCAAGAUGUGCUGCAUCGUUAUAUAGAGGAUGAAAGAUUAAGUGGUAAAUGCCCUCUUCCAAGGCAACAAGUAACAGAAAUCAUAUUUGUUUUAAAAGCAGUCAAUACUCUCACUGAUUCACUUAAGAAAACUCAGCUUGAGAAUGUUGGUGGAAAUACCUGGGCACAAGUGAUUGCUUUAUACCCAACUUUAGUAGAAUGCAUCACCUGCUAAUCUGCAGAAGUCUGCUCUGCACUUAAAGAGGCACUAGUUCCUUUUAAGGAUUUCAUGCAACCACCAGCAUCCAAAGUUCAAAAUGGAGAAUCUUGGCCAGCUACAAUAAUUUUAAAGAAGAAAGCUAUCUCAAGAAUGUUUGAUCCUCAGUGA
Odobenus rosmarus divergens (Pacific walrus) is the source of this 2863-nucleotide RNA transcript. It is a transcript of the gene named protein MON2 homolog, with no coding region annotated. NCBI's taxonomy places the organism in Eukaryota, Metazoa, Chordata, Mammalia, Carnivora, Odobenidae. The record is from RefSeq and is a predicted model, not a curated record. The transcript is spliced from 3 exons.